RNAcentral lists this transfer RNA (87 nucleotides) under Gammaproteobacteria bacterium HGW-Gammaproteobacteria-1. RNAcentral's name for it is "tRNA-Leu". It matches the Rfam family "tRNA". From Rfam's summary of the family: Transfer RNA (tRNA) molecules are approximately 80 nucleotides in length. Their secondary structure includes four short double-helical elements and three loops (D, anti-codon, and T loops). The record is from RNAcentral. Lineage: Bacteria; Pseudomonadati; Pseudomonadota; Gammaproteobacteria. RNAcentral also lists the same sequence under 1 other name.
GCCCGGGUGGCGAAAUUGGUAGACGCAAGGGACUUAAAAUCCCUCGGUGGCAACACCGUACCGGUUCGACCCCGGUCCCGGGCACCA